Molecule: transfer RNA, 75 nt
Filed under: Candidatus Moranbacteria bacterium CG23_combo_of_CG06-09_8_20_14_all_41_28
Lineage: Bacteria; Candidatus Moraniibacteriota
Description: tRNA-Arg
Rfam family: tRNA
About the family: Transfer RNA (tRNA) molecules are approximately 80 nucleotides in length. Their secondary structure includes four short double-helical elements and three loops (D, anti-codon, and T loops).
Source: RNAcentral
GUCCUUGUAGUUGAAUGGAUACAACAAGCCCCUCCUAAGGGCUAGGUACAAGUUCGAUUCUUGUCGAGGACACCA